Molecule: ribosomal RNA, 468 nt
Filed under: uncultured bacterium
Lineage: Bacteria
Description: partial 16S ribosomal RNA
Rfam family: Bacterial small subunit ribosomal RNA
Source: RNAcentral
GACGAACGCUGGCGGCGUGCUUAACACAUGCAAGUCGAACGGAAAGGCACUGCUUUCGUGGGGUGCUCGAGUGGCGAACGGGUGCGUAACACGUGAGUAACCUGCUCUAGACUUUCGGAUAACUUAAGGAAACUGGGGCUACUCCAGGAUCGGAGAUCCUGCUGCAUGGAGGGGGUUGGAACGUCUCGGCGGUUGGGGAUGGACUCGCGGCUUAUCAGCUUGUUGGUGGGGUAGUGGCUUACCAAGGCUUUGACGGGUAGCCGGCCUGAGAGGGUGACCGGCCACAUGGGGACUGAGGGACGGCCCAGACUCCAACGGGAGGCAGCAGUGGGGAAUAUUGCACAAUGGGCGGAAGCCGGAUGCAGCAACGCCGCGGUCGUGAUGACGGCCUGCGGGUUGUGAACCGCUGUCGCCUGUGACGAAGCGUGAGUGACGGUAAUGGGUAAAGAAGCACCGGCUAACUACGUG